This 640-nucleotide ribosomal RNA is filed under the name uncultured bacterium. RNAcentral describes it as "bacterial SSU rRNA". It matches the Rfam family "Bacterial small subunit ribosomal RNA", at positions 66 to 696 of the family's 1533-position model. The record is from RNAcentral.
GCAGCAUGGGUGCUUGCACCUGAUGGCGAGUGGCGAACGGGUGAGUAAUACAUCGGAACGUACCCGGAAGUGGGGGAUAACGUAGCGAAAGUUACGCUAAUACCGCAUAUUCUGUGAGCAGGAAAGAGGGGGAUCGCAAGACCUCUCGCUUUCGGAGCGGCCGAUGUCAGAUUAGCUAGUUGGUAGGGUAAAAGCCUACCCAGGCGACCAUCUGUAGCGGGUCUGAGAGGAUGAUCCGCCCCACUGGGACUGAGACACGGCCCCAGACUCCCUACGGGAGGCAGCAGUGGGGAAUUUUGGACAAUGGGGGCAACCCUGAUCCAGCCAUGCCGCGUGAGUGAAGAAGGCCUUCGGGUUGUAAAGCUCUUUCGGCCGGGAAGAAAUCGCACAGGUUAAUACCUUGUGUGGAUGACGGUACCGGAAUAAGAAGCACCGGCUAACUACGUGCCAGCAGCCGCGGUAAUACGUAGGGUGCGAGCGUUAAUCGGAAUUACUGGGCGUAAAGCGUGCGCAGGCGGUUUCGUAAGACAGAUGUGAAAUUCUCUCGGGCUCAAUCCUGGGAACUGUAUUUGUGACUGCGAGGCUAGAGUAUGGGCAGAGGGGGGUGGAAUUUCACGUGUAGCAGUGAAAUGCGUAGAGA